RNAcentral lists this ribosomal RNA (440 nucleotides) under uncultured bacterium. RNAcentral's name for it is "partial 16S ribosomal RNA". It matches the Rfam family "Bacterial small subunit ribosomal RNA", at positions 338 to 795 of the family's 1533-position model. The record is from RNAcentral.
CCUACGGGGGGCAGCAGUGGGGAAUAUUGCACAAUGGGGGAAACCCUGAUGCAGCGACGCCGCGUGAGUGAAGAAGUAAUUCGUUAUGUAAAGCUCUAUCAGCAGGGAAGAAAAUGACGGUCCCUGAGUAAGAAGCCCCGGCUAACUACGUGCCAGCCGCCGCGGUAAUAGGUAGGGGGCAAGCGUUAUCCGGAUUUACUGGGUGUAAAGGGAGUGUAGACGGAAGGGCAAGUCUGGAGUGAAAGGCGGGGGCUCAACCCCCGGAGUGCUCUGGAUACUGUACGGCUGGAGUGCAGGAGAGGUAGGUGGAAUUCCGAGUGUAGCGGUGAAAUGCGUAGAUAUUAGGAGGAACACCGGUGGCGAAGGCGGCUUACUGGACUGUAACUGACGUUGAGGCUCGAAAGCGUGGGGAGCAAACAGGAUUAGAUACCCGUGUAGUC